GAUGAAUGCUGGCGGCGUGCCUAAUACAUGCAAGUCGAGCGAACAGACGAGGAGCUUGCUCCUUCGACGUUAGCGGCGGACGGGUGAGUAACACGUAGGUAACCUACCUCUAAGACUGGGAUAACUUCGGGAAACCGGAGCUAAUACCGGAUAAUAUUUCGAACCGCAUGGUUCGAUAGUGAAAGAUGGCUUUGCUAUCACUUAUAGAUGGACCUGCGCCGUAUUAGCUAGUUGGUAAGGUAACGGCUUACCAAGGCAACGAUACGUAGCCGACCUGAGAGGGUGAUCGGGCACACUGGAUCUGAGACACGGUCCAGACUCCUACGGGAGGCAGCAGUAGGGAAUCUUCCGCAAUGGGCGAAAGCCUGACGGAGCAACGCCGCGUGAGUGAUGAAGGUCUUCGGAUCGUAAAACUCUGUUAUUAGGGAAGAACAAACGUGUAAGUAACUGUGCACGUCUUGACGGUACCUAAUCAGAAAGCCACGGCUAACUACGUG
Molecule: ribosomal RNA, 497 nt
Filed under: uncultured bacterium
Lineage: Bacteria
Description: partial 16S ribosomal RNA
Rfam family: Bacterial small subunit ribosomal RNA
Source: RNAcentral